GAUAAAUCGAAGAAAAACAGAAUAAAAAAGAAAAAAAGGGGGGGCUGUUCCAACGCCGGUGGGAGUCGACUCGUGGCCGCCUGUCACCGCCGUGCAGGAGCUGCGCGUACCACCGUAUCGCCGGCCGGGGAAUUUAUGGCUCUGGCUUCAAAUCCCUUUCGUCUCCGGCUUUGGCGAACACAGCGGAACCACCAGAACCCUGCACCGAAGCUCUCAUCGCCGGGAAGAAACCAGACCAAGUCCAGCGCAGGGUUCGAUCGAGACCGCAGAACAAAAACCGCAUCCCACCACCUCGCAGGGAUCACUACCGCGCGAGAACCGCACGCCGCCGCGCACCACCGCUGGGUCCCGUCUCCACUCUUGCUUCAGCCGCCGAUUAAUAGCACAGACCACCGAUUUCACCGAUGCUGCCAGCCGAUCUCUUAAUCCAAGGAGCAAUGAUAGCUCGCAGAUCAUGGGCAAAGGGGAAAACCCCCAAUUUCUCUUAAAUUCACCUAUAUUUUCCAAUAAUUUCGAAUAAAUUAUGACAAAUCCUGAUGGUUGUUUGUAUUUCCCUGUGUUUUUCGAGCAAAAUUAUCGGUGGAGACCCAUUUUUGCUUCGAUCAUCGCUCGCCUUUGCGGCACUCGGUUGGCAGUUGGCUGUCUAGGAGAAACCACAGAAAAAUGCCCUAAAUUGGGACUAGCUAAGUUCAUUGGUGUCAACUUCUGUUGCGAAGGACUCCAUGUACUAGUCGCUCUAUCAUGGCUUCACAGAGAAACGGAUCGAGAACCAUGAUGUGAACCGCUGCGAAUCUGGGAACUCGCGAAGUUGUUUGCUGCCAUUGAGAGCCGGCAAAGUUCAUCGCAGCGCCGCAUGCUCGACUGAACAGAGCAAUUGUUCUGCCUUCAUUAAAAGCUAAUUUGCCUGAGACUGCUGCUGUUGGGACUAAUUGGAGAUCAUUCAUUGUUGAUUUAAUCACUAGAAGAACCAUAAGUUAAGGGCUAUAUGCGCUUCACACUACCUUGAGGGUGACAAACGCUAGCCACCAAGUUAUAUCUACCGCGGAUUAAUCGGAGUCCGACGAGACAGCACCAGAAUGCCUUUGUCAGCAUUGUCUUGGCUCCAACUAAACAGUUUCCUUUCUCUCUAUCAUAAGCUAAGUCUUAUACUUGCCAUCAUAAAAACUGCUCAACCUUUCUAUGCUUUGAUGGGGGGUCUGGAUUUGAUAGCAGAAAUUUAAUCUCUUUUUUGAAUCAGUUAGGGAUAUAUGAAAAUCAAAGAUGUAUAUGCGAUUAUUCUCUUAUUGCAGUUGCUCUUUCUCUGGAAAAUGCUUAUAUGUGGGCAUAUGAAAUGCGAUUAUUGAUGUUUUUCUCAUGAAUUAAACUAUUCCUUGUCUCAUAAGAAAAUUUCUUUUUGUGAAUACCUAUUGGUGUGGAGUAAGGGCUCUGUUGAAAUGCGAAAAGAAUUUCAAUGUGUAUUCUGAUGUUGGUCUAAAGAUUGAGGAUAUUUUGAUAUUUGGAUAUUCUUUGGUAUUUUAAUAUCAUCAGCUUAGAUUUAUUGCUGUUUUGAAUUAUGGAAUUGAACAUUACAAUUGUUGGGAUAGGACCGUGGAGAUAUAUGUCUUUAUGUGCAUAAACGAGUUAUUAUGGGGCAUUUAAAUUAACUCUUUAUGAUUUGGCUUUAAUGUUCGUUGGGGCCUUAUUUUUGAAUUUUGGUGACUGAGCUUGAGUUUAUUGGUUGGUUAUGAGGAUCUACACCUUGUAAUAGUACUAUGCUCUUGCUUUGGUUUUGAGAUUGAUUUUGUGGGAUUAGGACUAAUCAAUUACUCUAAUGUUUUAGAGCACAGGAAGUACAUGAGUUACAGCACAAGAAGUACAUGAGUUAUUUUCAGGGCAUGAAGUUCUUGGGAUAUCAAGCGCCGCUGUGCCGAUGCAGCGCAGGGAGGGAGAGGGUAGUUCAUUUCGCUUGCAGCGCUGCAUCAAAAAUAUUGCAUUGUUUUCAGGGAAUUUUUGGAUCCGAAGGGCAACGUAGCUGCUUUGGGUGAACGGGCCUGCGCAGGACUUUUUUUUUUUUAUACUAGGGGAUUUUAGCCCCGCACAGGGUUCUCUCAACACAGCGGGAUUCCAGCUCUGCCGUUUCAAAAAUCCUUAUAUUUCAGGAUUAAUUUUGCUUUAAUUGGGGAUUGCAUCUACUGAUUUUGGGGUUAUCCAUGUCUCGUUUUUUAGACUGACUUUGCUCUACUUUUCUUUACAAAUUCAGGGCUGCGCAGGGCAUUUUUCGUGGAGGGAGCGCAACGUUUUCCAGGGAAUCUAUUGGAAAUGCUGUCUUCUUUAACACUCAUGAGUAUGUGCGCUAUUACAUGCAUAAACCACUCAGCCUUCAAUUUGAGCAAGGGCCGGGGUUUCGAGCAGCGCAGGAUCAUGCGAAGAAAGAUACAACAGCAAAGGAAAAGGAGGAAUUAGUGGAAUAACAAGAUGAAGUAAAAUUAUGAAGCUGCGCAGGAAUAAAAGCAAGAAGAGUUACUAAAGCUGCGCUGCAUAAUUUUCUAAGCGGUGCGGUGGGAUAUCUAAGCUGGUCUUCAACACAGGAACUCUACAUCCCAGCACAGAAUGUCUAAGCCGUAAUGUAACAAAGAAAAUGAGCUUUAGUGGCAAUUCAGCCACGCUACGGAGGGGAAAGCCUUAAGUGGAAUUUGGGUCUUCUCAGCGUAGUCAGGACAUUUAUCUCAGCUACCUCUGCGCAGCUACCUC
Salvia miltiorrhiza (redroot sage) is the source of this 2730-nucleotide long non-coding RNA. RefSeq lists it as uncharacterized. The transcript has 3 exons. Lineage: Eukaryota; Viridiplantae; Streptophyta; Magnoliopsida; Lamiales; Lamiaceae. The record is from RefSeq and is a predicted model, not a curated record.